UGAAUACCACCUUGAAUGCGCCCGAUCUCGUCUGAUCUCGGAAGCUAAGCAGGGUCGGGCCUGGUUAGUACUUGGAUGGGGGACCCAAUUCUUAUCCACUAUUAC
RNAcentral lists this ribosomal RNA (105 nucleotides) under Mesocricetus auratus (golden hamster). Lineage: Eukaryota; Metazoa; Chordata; Mammalia; Rodentia; Cricetidae. The record is from RNAcentral.